CCUGUGAGCUUCAUUGUGAGUCAACUUUGAAGGAAGGAUUAUUUGUGUUUUUAUUGGUGUGGUGGUGUUCAUUUCAGAUGUAUUUAUACAGCGGCUGAAGUGCAGAUGACAACAUAUGACUGGAAUUAUAUCUCUCAUAGAUGAGGAAGAGCCUCAUCUCAAGAUUCACAGCCUUACCAAUGAUCCUUCAACAGUGGGG
This is a long non-coding RNA of Polyodon spathula (Mississippi paddlefish), 199 nucleotides long. RefSeq lists it as uncharacterized. The transcript is spliced from 3 exons. The record is from RefSeq and is a predicted model, not a curated record. Lineage: Eukaryota; Metazoa; Chordata; Actinopteri; Acipenseriformes; Polyodontidae.